AAGUGCGCGAAUUAACUUCACUUUUUUCGCCACCAACGAAAGCACUUUUCCCGACGCCAACGAAACCCACAACUAUGCAAAUUCGACCAUACUAAGCACUGCCUAUGGCUUUUCCUUGUCACCACCAAGUUGGAGGUUUUUGUAUGUAACUGAAGACUGCUACGUUGUGAGUGUGUUAUCUUCAGUACCUGAGGCUGACGGCUGCGCAGGACCCGUAGAAGGAAGGUUCGAAAGCCGCACCCUUUCGAGCAGCAACGACUCUCUCUCGUUCACCAGCAGCACUGAGAAUUGGGAAAAGCCUCUUUGUGAACUUUGGGUGCGCCGACCAUACAAAGAAUAUGAUCAAAAACCAGGGGAGCUGAAGAAUUGGUCAUGCUGCGAAGUGUUCUUCAAUAAUACUUGUAACACGUCCACCGUUGUACAGGUUUUCGAUGAAAACAAGUGCCGUCACCAAGAAGAGGAUCCAGAAGAAUAAAAUGUUUGUAUGAAA
Dermacentor andersoni is the source of this 490-nucleotide long non-coding RNA. RefSeq lists it as uncharacterized. NCBI's taxonomy places the organism in Eukaryota, Metazoa, Arthropoda, Arachnida, Ixodida, Ixodidae. The record is from RefSeq and is a predicted model, not a curated record.